RNAcentral lists this ribosomal RNA (645 nucleotides) under uncultured bacterium. Its description in RNAcentral is "bacterial SSU rRNA". It matches the Rfam family "Bacterial small subunit ribosomal RNA", at positions 8 to 649 of the family's 1533-position model. The record is from RNAcentral.
AGAGUUUGAUUAUGGCUCAGGAUGAACGCUGGCGGCGUGCUUAACACAUGCAAGUCGAACGGGGAUGCUUAUGGAAGGAGUGCUUGCACUUUGGAAAUGAGUAUCUUAGUGGCGGACGGGUGAGUAACGCGUGGGUAACCUGCCCCAUACCGGGGGAUACCACCUGGAAACAGGUGCUAAUACCGCAUAAGCGCACGGGAGCGCAUGCUCCUGUGUGAAAAACUCUGGUGGUAUGGGAUGGACCCGCGUCUGAUUAGCCAGUUGGCAGGGUAACGGCCUACCAAAGCGACGAUCAGUAGCCGGCCUGAGAGGGUGGACGGCCACAUUGGGACUGAGACACGGCCCAAACUCCUACGGGAGGCAGCAGUGGGGAAUAUUGCACAAUGGGGGAAACCCUGAUGCAGCGACGCCGCGUGAGUGAAGAAGUAUUUCGGUAUGUAAAGCUCUAUCAGCAGGAACGAGACAAGACGGUACCUGACUAAGAAGCCCCGGCUAACUACGUGCCAGCAGCCGCGGUAAUACGUAGGGGGCAAGCGUUAUCCGGAAUCACUGGGUGUAAAGGGAGCGUAGACGGCUGAGCAAGCCUGAAGUGAAAGGCGGGGGCCCAACCCCUGGACUGCUUUGGGAACUGUACGGCUGGAGUGC